Juglans microcarpa x Juglans regia is the source of this 451-nucleotide long non-coding RNA. RefSeq lists it as uncharacterized. The record is from RefSeq and is a predicted model, not a curated record. Lineage: Eukaryota; Viridiplantae; Streptophyta; Magnoliopsida; Fagales; Juglandaceae. The transcript is spliced from 3 exons.
GACUAGCCAGCUACAUAUCCUUUUUAAUUUUUUUUAAAAAUUUUCGUAUCUGCAUUUGAGGCAUUAUAACACUGUCAAAACUUGCAGCAUCCAUAUAUGCCAACUGUUGGACCAACUAUGUCAUACCCUCCAUUGAGUAAUCUAGAGGAUUUGAGAAGAUUUCAAGAGAGUAGCCAAGUACAUGUCCUUUUUAUUUAUUUUUUAAAAUUUUUUAGGCUUUCUAAUAAUGUGCCUAAUGCCAGCAUCCCUCGAUGACAAUUGUUCGACCGAGUAUGCCAUACCCUCACUUGAGUAAUCUGGAGGAAUUGAGAAGAUUUCAAGAAAUUGGCAAGCAUUCGACUGAAAAGACCCCCCCAACAUGCAAGUAAGUCAUCAACUAUGCCUACUAGUGUUGACUUUGAAAUGACUAAUGAACCUUUAUCUGAAGUAAUUAAAGAGAUAAAGGUUGAGG